This 467-nucleotide ribosomal RNA is filed under the name uncultured bacterium. RNAcentral's name for it is "partial 16S ribosomal RNA". It matches the Rfam family "Bacterial small subunit ribosomal RNA", at positions 28 to 506 of the family's 1533-position model. The record is from RNAcentral.
GACGAACGCUGGCGGCGUGCUUAACACAUGCAAGUCGAACGGAAAGGCCCUGCUUUUGUGGUGUGCUCGAGUGGCGAACGGGUGAGUAACACGUGAGUAACCUGCCCUUUACUUUGGGAUAACUUCAGGAAACUGGGGCUAAUACCGGAUAGGAGCUCCUGCUGCAUGGUGGGGGUUGGAAAGUUUCGGCGGUUGGGGAUGGACUCGCGGCUUAUCAGCUUGUUGGUGGGGUAGUGGCUUACCAAGGCUUUGACGGGUAGCCGGCCUGAGAGGGUGACCGGCCACAGUGGGACUGAGAUACGGCCCAGACUCCUACGGGAGGCAGCAGUGGGGAAUAGUGCACAAUGGGCGGAAGCCUGAUGCAGCAACGCCGCGUGCGGGAUGACGGCCUUCGGGUUGUAAACCGCUUUCGCCUGUGACGAAGCGUGAGUGACGGUAAUGGGUAAAGAAGCACCGGCUAACUACGU